AGAGAAAGAACAGGCCAAUUUUGAGAGGAUAGGAAAGAAGAGGGAUGGGAGAGUGAAAUAAGACGAAAUCACCUGACAUGUUAAAUAAAAUAAGGGCAUUAUUGACUUUACCCAUCUUUCUUAAAAGUAUAGAUAAAAUGAAAAGUAUGAUAGAUUCAAGAGCAUGUGAGAUUAUUUUUCUGUCUUUAAAAGCAUAUGAAACUUUUGUCGUUUCUUUUAUGCCUCUUUUAAUAACUCACCAAUAUCUGCAGGACUAACGAAAAAGUUU
This 268-nucleotide long non-coding RNA is filed under the name Brassica napus (rape). RNAcentral's name for it is "long non-coding RNA (BNAP_LNC027076)". Lineage: Eukaryota; Viridiplantae; Streptophyta; Magnoliopsida; Brassicales; Brassicaceae. The record is from RNAcentral.